Haliotis rufescens (red abalone) is the source of this 4058-nucleotide long non-coding RNA. RefSeq lists it as uncharacterized. NCBI's taxonomy places the organism in Eukaryota, Metazoa, Mollusca, Gastropoda, Lepetellida, Haliotidae. The transcript is spliced from 5 exons. The record is from RefSeq and is a predicted model, not a curated record.
AGCAGGAUCACUCGGUGUACAUGGGGUUUGUAGCAGGAUCACUCGGUGUACAGGGGGGUUUGGGGUUUGUAGCAGGAUGACUCGGUGUACAUGGGGUUUGUAGCAGGAUCACUCGAGGUACAGGGGGUUUGUAGCAGGAUGACUCGGUGUACAUGGGGUUUGUAGCAGGAUCACUCAGUGUACAUUGGGUUUGUAGCAGGAUCACUCGGUGUACAGGGGGGUUUGGGGUUUGUAGCAGGAUCACUCAGUGUACAUAGGGUUUGUAGCAGGAUCACUCGGUGUACGUGGGGUUUGUAGCAGGAUCACUCGGUGUACAUGGGGUUUGUAGCAGGAUGACUCGGUGUACAGGGGGGUUUGGGGUUUGUAGCAGGAUGACUCAGUGUACAUGGGGUUUGUGGCAGGAUAACUCGGUGUACAUGGGGUUUGUAGCAGGAUCACUCGGUGUACAUGGGGUUUGUAGCAGGAUCACUCGGUGUACGUGGGGUUUGUAGCAGGAUCACUCGGUGUACAUGGGGUUUGUAGUAGGAUCACUCAGUGUACAUGGGGUUUGUAGCAGGAUCACUCGGUGUACAUUGGGUUUGUAGCAGGAUCACUCGGUGUACAGGGGGGUUUGGGGUUUGUAGCAGGAUCACUCGGUGUACAUGGGGUUCGUAGCAGGAUGACUCGGUGUACAUGGGGUUUGUAGCAGGAUCACUCGAAGUACAUGGGGUUUGUAGCAGGAUCACUCGGUGUACAUUGGGUUUGUAGCAGGAUCACUCGGUGUACAUGGGGUUUGUAGCAGGAUCACUCAGUGUACAUGGGGUUUGUAGCAGGAUCACUCGGUGUACGUGGGGUUUGUAGCAGGAUCACUCGGUGUACAUGGAGUUUGUAGCAGGAUCACUCAGUGAACAUGGGGUUUGUAACAGGAUCACUCGGUGUACAUGGGGUUUGUAGCAGGAUCACUCGGUGUACGGGGGGUUUGGGGUUUGUAGCAGGAUAACUCGGUGUACAUGGGGUUUGUAGCAGGAUCACUCGGUGUACAUGGGGUUUGUAGCAGGAUCACUCAGUGUACAUGGGGUUUGUAGCAGGAUCACUCAGUGUACAUGGGGUUUGUAGCAGGAUCACUCGGUGUACAUGGGGUUUGUAGCAGGAUCACUCAGUGUACAUAGAGUUUCACGCGUCCAGCGUUAGGUUUCAUUGCACGAGCCGGAGGCGAUUGGUAUAAAACCUUUCGAUGAACGCAUAAAACCCCAUGUACGGCGAGUGAUCCUGCUGCAAACCCCAGCCUCGCCCAGGGUGUUUGAAGGUCACAGACCGACCGGCAGUAACCAGGACAGGGCAAGAUCCGGCAGACCACGUGUGAUGACGCCACAGGAUUACCUAUACAUGUACUUGCGCACUUUGCAUUUUCCCAACGUGCAGCAACAGCGUCAGAACGCCAUAUCAAUCUCCGUGUCGCAGGUAUUCGAGCCUACCGCCCCUUCCGUUGAAUGGCCGUGACCCAUGAACAUCACCGUCAUAGACGAAUUUGGACAAGGACAGUACAACAGUACUGGCAUAUCUGUGACUGGCAGAGAGUGCUUUUGGCUGUGGGAAACGAUUAGCGUUUCAAUCAGGAAGUGAGUCCAUAUGGUGGCGGUGGGGUGAUGGCUAAGGAGGAACUUCUGGCAACCAACGGAUGGGAUAUAUCUUCAUCCAUUGCAACCGUAAUAAACCUCAAGUCACUUUGAGAUUUUAUAGAAUAUGUAUAAAUAAAAAUAACUUUCAGCUCCAGCGAGCCUCUUCAGGUCAUAGAGAUAACAGCGUAUCAGAGCUGAAAAAGCUCGUCUAUAAAAGGAAUAAUCUACUCCGUAGUUUUGAUCUAUACACUGCCUGAGAGCUGUAGCCAGGUUCCCUUGUAGCAUCAAGCACCAUUACAAGACUGUGGGACGUUAUCAGACACUUGGGACAACACGUGACCUUCCCAGUUCCGGUCGAUCACGUAUCACUACUAUAACUACGGCAAUACCAGGAUUGCGUAGAACAUCAGCCUAGAUAGUGAGGAACCGUUUACGCGCUGACGGUAUUCGCGCUAGUCGACCAUUUAGAGUUGACAUUUUGGCGGACCUGCAUCGUCGGCUGCGAUGUCAAUGGUGUCAAGGUCACAGAGAAUGACCACAACUGCGAUGAUGACAAGUUUGGUGACGAGUCACGUUUAAUGCUUCGCCGUGUGGAUGGUAGACGUCGUUUUUACAGGCCUCGCGGGGAACGAAACUGCAUACAGGAAGUGGACAGAUUUGGUGGUUGCAGAGUGAUGAUGUGUAUCCCCUACACUGGUAGAACAGUUCUGGGAAAUUGGCACAAUGUUACACGGAUGAGAUUAUUCGGCCACAUGUCCUUCACAUUAUGCAACAAGCAGAGGUCAUUUUCCAACAAGACAACGCCCGACCUCACACGGCAAGAUUAACAACAGACCUUUUCAGGAAUCACAACUUCCAGUCCUGCCAUGUCAUGUCAUGUCUAGGUCUCCAGAUGUCAUGUCUAGGUCUCCAGAUGUCAUGUCUAGGUCUCCAGAUGUCAUGUCUAGGUCUCCAGAUGUCAUGUCUAGGUCUCCUGAUGACAUGUCUAGGUCUCCAGAUGCCAUGUCUAGGUCUCCAGAUGUCAUGUCUAGGUCUCCAGAUGCCAUGUCUAGGUCUCCUGAUGACAUGUCUAGGUCUCCAGAUGCCAUGUCUAGGUCUCCAGAUGUCAUGUCUAGGUCUCCAGAUGUCAUGUCUAGGUCUCCAGAUGUCAUGUCUAGGUCUCCAGAUGCCAUGUCUAGGUCUCCAGAUGCCAUGUCUAGGUCUCCAGAUUUUGAACUCAACGGAACAGGGAUGCACUGUAUCAACGACUGCGAUCACGUCAGCAACAACCAAAGAACCUCCGACAGUUGGCACAAGCACUGCAGGCAGAAUGGGUGAACAUUAUCCAGGCCACAUUUCGGAUCUGAUCGCUUCCAUGGGACGACGAUGCAAUUCAGUUUUGGACUCUAUUGGUGGCCAUACAGAUAUUGAGAACAGAUGACCUUCACCUUCUACUGUCCCAUGUGUGUGGAACCUGGGUCAGUGAGAAUGAUGUCUGCAAAUUUAGUACAAUCGAUUACCAUCUGCUGAUAUUUAUAUGAUAUGUAAGAUAUACAUGUACAUCUACACAUCACUUUUGCGAGUGUUUUUUGCAGAGUAUAUAUUCAGAUUUAUUACAUAAAUGGAAAUACAUUUUGCAGACAAUCUGCAAGCACCACAGGUGAAAAUUCAAAUUCCAACUGUGACCAAUCUGCCAUGGCCGGUGAAGAUAAACUUGCAGAUUAUCGGGAAGGAGGUGAUAAGGUACCUUUUGUAUAUUUAAUAACGCCUAUGGCCGUGAUCCUGUCCACACAUCACGACUGGGAACAUCUGGAAGUGAAGUGAAAACAUCAACUUUCCGUUGUUUGUCUGUCAGUUUCAGACUGUUCCAGAGAGGGGACACUUCAGCCUUCAGCUACAUAUUAAAACUGAGGGGGACCUGGACUAUUGUCUCCUGAGUGGCGUAGUUUACAUAGUUGCGUCCUUACGGCGUGGAUUCUAGCAUCAGGGGUUUCAGGCUCAGACACGGACCCCAUCCCCAUGUACAUACAGACCAUUAGCCCCAUCGGAGAGAGAUCCUGGCCCCUCCUAUUCAAUGUCAAGGUCACAGCGCCUAACCCGCUCGGUGAGUGAGGAUAGAGAUUGAGGACGCCAUGCCAGGCCCUAGUGCAUACUCACCAGCAGCCCCAUCGCAGAGACCCUGGCCCCUCCCACUCACUCGGGUCAAGACCGCGUGAUUUAUCCGUGUGGACCACCAUCGCCAUCCUCGCUACAUCCAGGACCCAAGUUCUCCAUCACCUCAAGACACAUGCCAUCCCGCUUUGCCAUCACAGUUGAAGAGGAUUAAGAGAUAUUUCCAAUGUGUGUGCAAACUUAGCAGAGUGGGUGAGUGAGUGGGUUGGGUUUAACGCCGCUUUAAACAGUAUUCCAGUUAUAUCGCGGCGUGUCAGCUUUAUAAGUGAGGAAAGCCCGAAGUGAUGCAGGUCUCAGACGUUUACCACU